This 885-nucleotide long non-coding RNA is filed under the name Mus spicilegus (steppe mouse). RNAcentral describes it as "lncRNA (ENSMSIG00000021030.1)". The record is from RNAcentral. Lineage: Eukaryota; Metazoa; Chordata; Mammalia; Rodentia; Muridae.
UGAGCCCAUGCCAUAGCUGACCUUGCACACAUUCAGGGAGGAGCAUCCACGCCAAGCCGAGCAGAACCGGGAACCAUGGGAAGAUGGAAGAAAGUGAAAAGAAACAGGGAUUUGAUUUCAGGACAGCGUCUUGACCGAAACGUCAUUUGCUUAUGGAAUUUCAUGUUGGGUCCCAGUGGAGGAAACCACUUGCACUCCCAAGGAAUUCUGGGAAUAUAUCUGCUCAAGCUGAUCAUCCUGCAGAGGAAAAGAAAGAAAAGGCAGAAGCUUGGGUAGCCAACUGGGAGGUGCUGCUGCCCCAUUCUCCGGAGAGAAGACCUGGGUAGGCAGCCUGUGGCCUGUCCCCAUGGUGUGAGUACUAACCACAGCAAACCCUAAACCCCCAGCGCAGCAUUCCUCCACUCUACAGCAGGCUGAGCUGGUCUGCAACACAUCUUCAGCUCACCAUCAGAUUCUGUAUCACAAGUGAGCAGUUCUGGCUCACCCCCCCUUCUUGUUUUCCUUACUUGUGUAUAUACGUUUGUAAAAGGAGAGACCCGGCUCUGAAGUGACAGCCAUCGUGUGGCUAUCAAGAUUCCAGGACCAAGGUAAGGACAGCUUUAGAAUACAAGCAUUGUUUCGUAUUUGUUUCUGUCCUUGCAAAACAACUCGAGAACUUGACCCACAUUAUAGAAGCUUUUGUGCCUAUGAGCAAAAGGUAUCUUGCUGAUGACAAAUUCAAUAUAUGUGUAACUGGAAGGGCUUGGUUGGGGGCAGAUUCAUGGUGGCUCUGUGGGCUUCUGUGGGCCUCUGUAGGCAACAGAGAGGCCAAGACCAUGUGGGUCAGAACAGUGGGAACACUUUUGCCUUCUCCUGAGCUUUGUGCCUUUUGCAAGUUCAUUUUUC